This is a long non-coding RNA of Pipistrellus kuhlii (Kuhl's pipistrelle), 1847 nucleotides long. RefSeq lists it as uncharacterized. Lineage: Eukaryota; Metazoa; Chordata; Mammalia; Chiroptera; Vespertilionidae. The record is from RefSeq and is a predicted model, not a curated record. The transcript is spliced from 2 exons.
AGUCUACAGCAUUUAAGUCUUAAAAACAGGUGAUAAUUAAAAAAGAGAAUUUACAAUUUUCAGAUCCUUUAAUAAUUUAACGUUCUCUGCCCUUUAAGGCUGUUAGACCCUUAGCAAAUCAGGUCUAGUUGCGUCCCAGCAAUAACAAAGGGCCUAUUGCAUUAUGAUGCCAAAUACACAGCAAAAUGCAGAAGUUCCAGUGCUUCCCUGGAACAUACUCUGGCUUCUCUCCUUUGUAAGAAGGGUGUGAUUUUUCCUAUAAUGAAUGACUUAAAAUACAGUCAUGACUUAAAAAAUCCUACACCAAGUCUCAAUACAGUGAUCCAAACACUAUUUAAAAAUGCCCUCUGAGCCUCAGUUUCCCCUUCUGUAAAAUGAAGGAGUUGGGUUCGUGUUGCAGGCCAGGCCACAUCACAAGUGGGUGAACUGAACUUGCUAUCACAAACCCGAGGAGUGAGGGGAACAGCGGCAAAUAGGACUGUGGGAGGUGGACCAGGGCAGUAGUGGCCGGAAAACCAGCCUUCAAGGGGUCAGGCAGCUCUGAACUGCCAAGUCUCAAAAGUAUGUCUUUGUCUUUUGAUUUGAUAAUUUGGUCUAAUAUGAUUGUCUCAUUUAUUCCAGUGUAUGUACUUACUGUAAAUUUAUGUACAGAAUUAAAUAUCCCAUUUAUUCAUUUAUAAACCAUAAUAAAACCAGUCAUUUCCCCUCACCAGCAAUUUUUGCAUUGGAAAAGGAAAAAAAAACUAAUAUACACAUUUCAGCAACAUCAGAAAUGUCAUUAAAUCUGAAUGGAGGCAUAAUUCAUUUUGUAGUUCAAUUACGGUAUAUGUCCACGGAGUCAGUUACUCUAAUCAUAAAGAAAACACUGCAAUAUCUUUGCAGUUCAAAAUUAUUCCCAUUUGUUAUUCAACUUUGAGAAAAAUUCAGCUGUAGACUUGACUGCUUCCGGUGAAGGCACUCGGCAAGCUCAUCACCAAUAACACCCUUCAGGAUUGCCUUUUUAGAUUCCACAUAGCAAUCACCUUGAAAUUUGGGGCCGAAGUAAUUAGAAAGCAAGCGAAUAACAGACAACAAACAGGAACUUCAGAGGCUGGCGAUUCCUAAGCUCACAGGCCUAAAGAUAUCCCAGACCUCUCCAGAAGCGGCCCAAUGUAAGCUGACAAAACGCCCUCUUAUUUACAACAUUCCAAUUAUCAAAAACAAACCACGUCAAGCGUAAACCGUCACUCUCUGAGUGGGAAAAAUGUCUCGAGGGAGUAAAGGAUGACUCCUGUCCCAACUCUGGGGACAGCGCCAAAGGAAGAAAGCAUCACCUCAGACCCAGCCGGUCCCAGGAGGGAGGAUAACAGUCCUUCGUGAUGCCAAGAAGGCUGGAUCCCCUCCACCUGGAUCUUGGCACACAGGUCACGAUGUGAGCCUCCCCAAACCAACUUCUCUGCUUUUUCUUUUUCUUUUUCUUUUUUAAGCCAACUUUUUCUUGACCAAAGCAUCUGAUUUGACAAACCAGAUCCUAGCUUGCUGCUCGCCUCUUUUCCCUUCACCAGAACAUGAUUCAGAUCCUAAUGUAAGCACCACAAGAAUAGGACACGGAAUCAAACCACUGCUCUUGUCUGCCACACAAACCGUCCAGAUAAUUGGUAUUCUUGAUUCAUUCUGCUUUUAGCGAUUAUGGUCAUUUGAGAGGUGCUUCUCAACACCUCAUCGUUUCCUACCAAAUGCUGAUAUGUGUCAGGCAUCAGCAGUGGGAACUUUUUUUGUUUUUAAACAUUUAAAGCAAAAGGGUUUUCAAUCUAUAAGCCAGUCUGUAUGCACCUCCUACUGGGGUCCAAGGCAUAAAUACACAACUA